This 505-nucleotide ribosomal RNA is filed under the name uncultured bacterium. Its description in RNAcentral is "partial 16S ribosomal RNA". It matches the Rfam family "Bacterial small subunit ribosomal RNA", at positions 28 to 507 of the family's 1533-position model. The record is from RNAcentral.
GACGAACGCUGGCGGCGUGCCUAAUACAUGCAAGUAGAACGCACAGUUUAUACCGUAGCUUGCUACACCAUAGACUGUGAGUUGCGAACGGGUGAGUAACGCGUAGGUAACCUGCCUGGUAGCGGGGGAUAACUAUUGGAAACGAUAGCUAAUACCGCAUAAUAUUGAUUAUUGCAUGAUAAUUGAUUGAAAGAUGCUAUUGCAUCACUACCAGAUGGACCUGCGUUGUAUUAGCUAGUAGGUGAGGUAACGGCUCACCUAGGCGACGAUACAUAGCCGACCUGAGAGGGUGAUCGGCCACACUGGGACUGAGACACGGCCCAGACUCCUACGGGAGGCAGCAGUAGGGAACCUUCGGCAAUGGACGAAAGUCUGACCGAGCAACGCCGCGUGAGUGAAGAAGGUUUUCGGAUCGUAAAGCUCUGUUGUAAGAGAAGAACGGGUGUGAGAGUGGAAAGUUCACACUGUGACGGUAUCUUACCAGAAAGGGACGGCUAACUACGUG